RNAcentral lists this ribosomal RNA (169 nucleotides) under uncultured bacterium. RNAcentral describes it as "partial 16S ribosomal RNA". It matches the Rfam family "Bacterial small subunit ribosomal RNA", at positions 338 to 524 of the family's 1533-position model. The record is from RNAcentral.
CCUACGGGAGGCAGCAGUGGGGAAUAUUGGACAAUGGGCGAAAGCCUGAUCCAGCAAUGCCGCGUGAGUGAUGAAGGCCUUAGGGUUGUAAAGCUCUUUUACCAGGGUUGAUAAUGACAGUACCUGGAGAAUAAGCUCCGGCUAACUCCGUGCCAGCAGCCGCGGUAAU